This is a non-coding RNA of Parasteatoda tepidariorum (common house spider), 305 nucleotides long. NCBI's taxonomy places the organism in Eukaryota, Metazoa, Arthropoda, Arachnida, Araneae, Theridiidae. The record is from RefSeq and is a predicted model, not a curated record.
AAUUUUUUUUUCCGGGUUAAAUACCUGAAGUUUUAAAAACUUAAGAGUAUAAACAGCCAUUACUUACAAAUUGUAUUUCUUCUCUAAUAAUGAAAUUCAAUAAAUUUUUUAUAGUCUUUGGAUAUCAGCACAACAAAAAAUAGCAAUCUUGGAUAUAUAGAGCUAAUGACUGAAAAUGAAGCUGCUAAGUUAUUAAGUAGCAGGGAACAUCCAGCAUUGUUAAGUGAUGAGGAGGCAAGAGAAGUAGUAUUAUUUUUAUCUAGAUCUGAUGAAAGUCAUUAAGAUGUGGCUUAAGAAACAUUAAA